This is a long non-coding RNA of Quercus robur (English oak), 816 nucleotides long. RefSeq lists it as uncharacterized. The record is from RefSeq and is a predicted model, not a curated record. Lineage: Eukaryota; Viridiplantae; Streptophyta; Magnoliopsida; Fagales; Fagaceae. The transcript is spliced from 3 exons.
UUGUCAUCACUCAAAUUUUUCAACUUUUUGUAAACCCUGUACCUGUAACUUGGUCAGAGGAAAGCUGUUACCUACCCACGGAAGGUUUCAUCCCCAUCUUUUUUCUCUUUUCUCAUUUCCCCUUCCCCCUUCAGCCCUGUUACUCUCCCAAAACACAAACCCAAACCCAUAAAAUAGAAGAAGCUCCCUCGCCGAUCUCCACCGUUCGUCACUAGGGCCGCUUCACCCAUCUCUCCAACGUGUACUGGUGGUGCGAUCUCCUCCGUUGUGACCUAGCAGUGCCGAUGACCUUUGAAGAAACGUGACCCAUUUCCUCCAUUCGUCAUAGACAAUCUCCUCCGAUCUAACACGGGGAUGGUGCCCUCAAUAACAAACUUAAUUAAAAGCGUUAAUGUUACCUUGAAUAUACACCAACAAGUGCCUCUGGUAGCACUAUUGGUGUAGUUGGUCAAAGAAGUGGUGGUGGUGCUACUAUGGGGUUCAAUGGCAGAAAGUUUCAACCAUUUAGUGGACAAGGCAAAAAAUCCAACGAGGGCACCAAAAGCAGUAAAUGAAGCAGAUCAUCAAUUUUUUUUUUUUUGGUUAUGGUUCUCACAGUUAAUGUAACUAGUAUUUAAAUUGUUCAAGUGCCAAAAACAAUAUUUUUAUAUUUUGGUUGGAAGAUGUGUAUGUCUGAUGAGUGGUGGACCAAUAGUUUGGUUUUGGUUGUAAACCUAUAUGCAUGUGGCUUAAAGACAAAACUGAUUGUCUUCACUUUUGGCAAAUGAUAACAUUAUAUAUUUUUAAUCAAUGCAGCAAAAUUUUUAUUUGAAGAAA